This 329-nucleotide unclassified non-coding RNA is filed under the name soil metagenome. RNAcentral's name for it is "partial contains 5.8S ribosomal RNA, internal transcribed spacer 2, and large subunit ribosomal RNA". The stretch from base 1 to 120 matches the Rfam family "5.8S ribosomal RNA", at positions 35 to 154 of the family's 154-position model. The record is from RNAcentral.
GAUGAAGAACGUAGCGAAAUGCGAUAACUAAUGUGAAUUGCAGAAUUCCGUGAAUCAUCGAGUCUUUGAACGCACAUUGCGCCCCUUGGUAUCCCGAGGGGCAUGCCUGUUCGAGCGUCAUUUCACCACUCAAGCCUGGCUUGGUGUUGGGCGACGUCCCCUUUGGGGACGCGCCUCGAAACGCUCGGCGGCGUGGCACCGGCUUUAAGCGUAGCAGAAUCUUUCGCUUUGGAAGUCGGGGCCCCGUCUGCCGGAAGACCUACUCGCAAGGUUGACCUCGGAUCAGGCAGGGAUACCCGCUGAACUUAAGCAUAUCAAUAAGCGGAGGA